AACGCAUAUUGCACUCUUUGGUAUUCCGAAGAGUAUGCUUGUUUCAGUAUCAUGAAAAUCUCACAAUUCUUAAUUUUUUUUGAGAAUUAGUGGACUUGGGUUUGCGACUUUUUACAAGUUGCUAACCUGAAAUGAAUUUCAUGAAGCUCAAAUGCUUUAAAUCUUUGCUUAAUAGUUUUGCUUUGUCAAAUCUUUUGCAUUGAACUUGAAGCGAAAAAGUGAAUUGAUUUUACGAAAAAUUAAAAUCUCAUUUUUUGAUCUGAAAUCAAGUAGGACUACCCGCUGAACUUAA
This 292-nucleotide unclassified non-coding RNA is filed under the name uncultured fungus. Its description in RNAcentral is "partial contains 5.8S ribosomal RNA, internal transcribed spacer 2, and large subunit ribosomal RNA". Lineage: Eukaryota; Fungi. The record is from RNAcentral.